Molecule: ribosomal RNA, 467 nt
Filed under: uncultured bacterium
Lineage: Bacteria
Description: partial 16S ribosomal RNA
Rfam family: Bacterial small subunit ribosomal RNA
Source: RNAcentral
GACGAACGCUGGCGGCGUGCUUAACACAUGCAAGUCGAACGGAAAGGCCCUGCUUUUGUGGGGUGCUCGAGUGGCGAACGGGUGAGUAACACGUGAGUAACCUGCCCUUGACUUUGGGAUAACUUCAGGAAACUGGGGCUAAUACCGGAUAGGAGCUCCUGCUGCAUGGUGGGGGUUGGAAAGUUUCGGCGGUUGGGGAUGGACUCGCGGCUUAUCAGCUUGUUGGUGGGGUAGUGGCUUACCAAGGCUUUGACGGGUAGCCGGCCUGAGAGGGUGACCGGCCAAAUUGGGACGGGGAUACGGCCCAGCCCCCUACGGGAGGGAGGAGUGGGGAAUUUUGCAAAAUGGGGGGAAGCCUGAUGCAGAAACGCCGGGGGGGGGAUGACGGCCUUGGGGUUGUAACCCGUUUUCGCCUGGGACGAAGGGUGGGUGACGGUAAUGGGUAAAGAAGCACCGGCUAACUACGU